ACUGCAAGCCGCCUAAAUGCAGGGCUUUUGAUGAUAUUCCCCGCCAACAAGGCAUGAAGGUGGGGCUUGCCUCCAUCUGGCUCUCCUGCCACUUUCAACAACACACCCCACAUCCGAUCCUGCUUAGAGUCGAAGAUGAAUCUGGCAUAAUACAAACAGCACUGGACUGGAAGCAUGAAGUUUCUCUUAUCUGUGCCUUGGUUUCCUCAUGUGGAAAAUGAAAAUGUUGACAUAAAUAAUCACACAGGUCUCUGUUAGUACCAUUUUGUGAUUGAUUUUAUAUCGUGCUUGCCACACCUAGAAACAGGGGCCAUCAUUCCAGCCAGCUAACAGAGAAACAGACGAUACAUAAUCAGGCUUGGGAAAAUAAAUUUCAGAGACCAAGCAAACAAAGACAACAAUCUAGUAUAAGUGUUAUAACUGGGGGAUGAGGGGUUGCAAAUGGAGAUCUGCCACAGUCAACUUUAUUUGGAUUCCCCUGUUCUCAACAGGCAACAGCAAUCAUAAUGGGCUUGGAGCACCAGUCCCACAACAUCACAGGACAUCCAGACAUAAUUGCAUUAAUAAUGUUGUGCAUAAUCGCACAACUAUCCAGUUAUUCGGCAUCGUCCAAUAUGUGAAUAAAGCUCUGAGGAAAAAUUAA
Molecule: long non-coding RNA, 643 nt
Filed under: Pan troglodytes (chimpanzee)
Lineage: Eukaryota; Metazoa; Chordata; Mammalia; Primates; Hominidae
Description: lincRNA
Source: RNAcentral